RNAcentral lists this long non-coding RNA (6483 nucleotides) under Homo sapiens (human). Its description in RNAcentral is "HSALNT0390534". Lineage: Eukaryota; Metazoa; Chordata; Mammalia; Primates; Hominidae. The record is from RNAcentral.
CAAAAGUGCUUGGUCACAAGUUGGUUUUCUCUAUUUUUAUAUGUGUAUUUUUUUUUUAUUACAAAAGCAGUCCUUGAAUACAUCCACUAUUUUGAAAAGGUUUGUACAAGUAAAAUUUAAAGUCUCUCUUCCCUUUCUCCCCCCUCAUCUCCACUUCUGUCCUUGAAGUAACCACUGUUUACAGUUUGAUAUUUAUCCUUCUAGAACUUUCCCCAUGCAUUUGCAUAUCUGUGUGUAUGUCGUUUUUUAAAAACAAGUAGGCUCCUCUUGAAUAUUGAUCUGUAACAUGCUUUUUCCCACUUAACCAUGUAUCUUGGAGAUCUUUCCACAUCUUUCUAUGGGUCUGCCUCAUUCUCUUUAAUGGCCACAAGGGUUAAGGAUACGUGUAAUAGAUUUUGACCAUUCCCUGAUUGAUGGUGUUUAUGUUAUUUCCGAAUUCUUGCUAUUACAAGCAUGUUGGCAGUGAAUACCCUCAGGGCUCAUGUAGUAACAGCAUGUCUGCCUGAAAAGCGAGACUCUGGGUCAGAAAGGUAAGCACAUUUCCAACUUGCCUGGAUAUUGCGAACGUGUCCUCCAAAUAGACAGUGUAAAAGUGCCAGUUUUUUCACACCAAGCCAACACGGAGCAUUACCACUUAAAAAAUGUAAUAUUGACAAUAAGAGAAAACUGCUCUGUGUGCAGAGUAUUUUCUCCUGGUCCCCCAAGGACAGGACUCCUGAGUUGAAAGUGCCUUCAGGGAACACAGGUUUAAGUUAGUAAUUUUGUUUCAGCCAAAGAAAAUUGACUAGAAAGCUUGGCUUGUGGCUUUGCCCACAUCCAGACUGGUCUCUAGCUUCACUGCCACUCCCCAGAGUCAUCCAGAGCAUGGAAGGCACCACUCAGGGUGCAGAGCCUGUGCCCCCACCCUUCAGGUGCCCGUGCUCCCCAUUGUUGGGAACAGCCUUGUUUACACUUGUUGCCUGGCGUAAUUACUAACACUCCCCAAAGUGUCCUGGUUGCAUGCUAAUUUCUUUUUUUGAGAUGGAGUCUCGCUUUGUCGCCCAGGCUGGAGUGUAGUGGCAUGAUCUUGGCUCACUGCAACCUCUGCCUCCCAGGUUCAAGCAAUUCUACUGCCUCAGCCUCCUGAGUAGCUGGGAUUACAGGCACGUGCCACCAUGUCUGUCUAAUUUUUGUAUUUUUAAUAGAGAUGGGGUUUCACCAUGUUGGUCAGGCUGGUCUCAAACUCCUGACCUUAAGUGAUGUACCCACCUCGGCCUGCCAAAGUGCUGGGAUUACAGACAUGAGCCACUGCCCCCCAGCCUGGAUGAUAAUUCCUAUGGACAGUCUGUGCCACCCCAUCUCAUGAGCGACCCCUACUGGACUGGAGUACCUGACCCCAGUUACUGGGCUUUGACUUAGGGCCUCUGCUUUAUGUUGCAGAACCCACUCAGAACCCCUGCUUGCUGGGCUCCAUUGUCAUUGUCACUCACCUCCCACUCGCUUCCCCAUCAGCCCAAAGAACUGGCUUGCCUUGCCCGUCUUCACCUCCUGCAGCUGGAGCUGAAUGCUGGGGCCAGCGCCUUCCUGAAGAAGCAGAGAGUUAGUGUUAGAGUUGGGAGGUUGUCCAGCAGACGGGAGGCCAGCCUGGGCAAUGGCAAUCUCAGGAGUGACAGCUGGUGGUCAGCAGAGACUUGCUGUGCACUGGCACUGGGCACCUCAGCAUAUUUUACACAGUACUGCACAUCUUUGUAAUAAUAGCUAACAUUUCACCUACUAUGUUCUGAGCACGUUGAUCUAGUAACUAAUUUAAACCUCACCAAAACACCAGGAAAACAGUACCCUAAGUACUGUUACUGUCAUUUUACACAUGAAAACACCGAGACACAGGUUAAAGAAUUGUUCAGCUGGGCGCAGUGGCUCACACCUGUAAUCCCGGCACUCUGGGAGGCCGAGAUGGGUGGGUCGCUUGAGGUCAGGAGUUCGAGACCAGCCUGGCCAACAUGGUGAAACCCCGUCUCUAAUAAAAAUACAAAAAUUAGCUGGGCAUGGUGGUAGACACCUGUAAUCCCAGCUACUCAGGAGGCUGAGGCAGGAGAAUUGCUUGAACCUGGGAGGCAGAGGCUGCAGUGAGCCAAGAUCCUGCCCCUGCACUCCAGCCUAGGUGACAGAGCAAGACUCCAUUUCAAAAAGAAAGAAUUGUCCAAGGUCACCCAGCUGGGAAGUGAGAGGUGGAACCAGAAGUUGAACUCAGGCUCAAAGGCUGGUCUGAAACACUGCAGUCAUAAUCUCAUUUAAUCUUCACAACCACCAUAACUAGUAGAAACUAUGAUUUCCCCCGGCCCCUGCAUUUUACAGAUGGAGAAACUGAGAUGUAAGGAGGUUAAGUGACUUGUCCAAGGUCACACGGGAAGAGGCUGAGCCAAGAUUCAAAGUCUGACUUCACAGUACUGGUUCUGCUCUAUCAUGGGAAGUGUCUCCAACAUAGAUGAGGAGAGGGCAGCCAGUGAACUCACGGACGUCAGUGGCUGGGGCAUCUAUCUUGAGCUGGAGUCACCCAGCCUGGCCAAGAACUGGAAAAGUCUCUUUGGGGAUUUGGACCCAUUUCUGAAAAGCUCAUGAAAACCACUUUGCCUUGGACUCCUGCCCCCAGCCGGAGCCCUCCAUAUCCAUUUAACCCAAAUCCCCAACUCCAGGGAUGACUACAGGUUGGGGGAGCCCCGAGAGCAAGGGAGAGAUGGGUCUUUCUAUGUUGCCCAGGCUGAUCUUGAACUCCUGGCCUCCAGCAGUCCUUCUGCCUCUGCCUCCCAAAGUGCUGGGAUUACAGGCAUGAGACUCCACAGCCGGCCGUCACUUAUGUUAUGCUUAGCAUCCCACAGCAUUUGUGAGGAAACUGAUGUCCAGAAAGAAGCAGGCAUCAGUGGAGACACUCCUAGCCCUGCUGCCCUCUCCUCACUGCACACACUUCCAGGUUCAGACAAACCGGAAAGGAAACCCACCAUGCAGGACUGUCCAUGUGAUGGCUCUUCCCGUGGCUCCAUUUCUAAGCGCCUCCGAGGACCUCAUCGUGGCCCAGGACCGCAAGCCAAGGCCACCCCAGUGUCCUUACCAUCCUGGGAAUGGGAGGAGUCAGGCCCAGCCUUGUCCUGUCUGCCCCCCUGGAAGCCUUCCCUGAGCACUGGCCUCUUAUUUACCCGUCUUUGUCUCUGGCUUGUUGGUAUCUGUCCCUUGUCUGAUUAGGGAACGCCUGAGGUCAGGAUCUUUGCCUCCCCAAUCAGAUUGUCAGGCAGGAGUGGGGGUAGUGCAGAUGCUGGGUCAUUUCUACAUGUGAGACCAAAUAGUGGUCCUGUUUAAGUUGAUCCCCUUGAAAGAAAAUUCUGGAAAAGCUCCUCAGAUGCACAGAUACACAGAAUCAGACCUUGGGCAAAGUGUGUAGUUGUGCUUUUGAAGCUGUGCAACCUUGGACAAACUACUUGACUUCUCUGUGCCUCAGUUUCCUUAUUUGUGAAAUGAGGGGUAGUCAUGAUACCUUCCCCAUGAGGUUGAUGGGAGGAUUGAGUUAAUAUUUAUAAAGCAUUUCAGACAGUGCCAGAGAUAUACCGUGUGUUAAAUAAGUAUUUCUUACACACACACACACACACACAGACACACACACACACACACACACACACACACACACUUCGGAGGUCUGCCAGGCCAGGGCUCAUAGCCUUGAAUCUACCCAUGGUAGAGAGUCAGACAACUUGCCUUGCAGACUGCCUGCUCUCCCAGCAGCCAUGCAGGGGAUCUUCUGCCUCUGCACUGCCGAUUAUCCCCUGCCCUCGUCAGAGCCUCUCCCCAAAAGUACCUCCAAGGCCACAAUUACCCAGGUCUCUGCUUCAGUGCUGAGUGUCUGUUCCUCUCCACCAUCACCUGCCACAGUGCACACGGACAGCUCCAUCAGGAGAAGCAGGGCGAGGCAAGGCAGCAUGGUGAGCCUGCACUGUCCUGGAAUCUCUGGGAGCCCCUCUCAGCUUGAAGAUGCCUCCUGCAGGCUUUGGUUUGCUCUUUGGCUCCUUGAGUGUAGAUAGGGGAAACUCCCCCUGUUUUCUGGUCCUUCCAGCUGUUCCUGAUUCCUUCCUUCAGCUUAACUGAUCCCCAGGCCAGUUUCUGUGACUCCCCUCCCUCCCUGGCUGGACAGGCCAAUGAUAUUAGGAGCUGCUCAGGAGGAGGGAUCAGACCUCUUCCACUGCUGCCCCCUAACAUUUGAUCCCAGGGCUUAACACUCUGAUGCAACACCUGCCUCACCUUUGGCUGUUUCCCUGGUGGCAGGUGCACAGUGGGGCAGUGUGUGGGACCUGGAGCUUGCAGCUUCCAGGCUGGAAAACCUGAAGGGACCUUCUCAUCUUAGAAAUAAGGGAGGGGGCCAUAUGCCUUCUCCCUACCUGGUGCUCUGCUCCCCUGUACAGAGAGGCCUCUCCCUGGAAAUUAGCAGUAUCCCCUUUCUGUCUCCUCUUCCUGUCUUUGAGCCCCCUCCUCUCCAGCAUUCUCCUCCAUCAAUAGUCCCUGUGUGUGCAAAAGAACACGUCUUCCUUUAAGAGAAAUAACACAUUGCUUAAAGAAAUGAGGCUCCUCACGAGUGGGAAUUGGGAUUUGCCAGAAAAAUGGCUGCAGGUUUCAAGCGUCAUUGGCUCUAAGUGAUCUUUCCCCUGUUGUCAAAGUGAUGUUUCUAAGUCCCUAAACUGACUUGUCUCUCCUGCUUACAACCUUUCAGUGUCUUCCCACUGCCCUUGAGUGAAUUCAAGCUCCCUAGUGUGGCGUUCAUGGUGUUUCAUUUAGUUCUUCCCUCUCGCCUAUCCACCCAGAUCCAUUCAUCCAUCUAUCCACUCAUCGGUCUAGAACAAGGGCUCUGUGGUCACAGAGGCCUGGAUUCCAAAUAGUUGUGUGACUUUAGGCACAUUACUUAACUCUUCUCGAGAAUCCUUGUCUGUAAAACAGGAUUAAUAAUAGCACUUGUUACCAAAGUUUGAGGAUGAAAUGAGAGAAUGCCCUGGAGCACUUAGCAUAAAGCGUGAUGGUCAAUAUUUACCACCUGCUGACUUUUUUUUUUUUUUUUUUUUUUUUUGAGACGGAGUCUGGCUCUGUUGCCCAGGCUGGAGUGCAGUGGCGUGAUCUCAGCUCACUGCAGCCUCUGCCUCCUGGGUUCAAGCAAUCCUCCUGCCUCAGCCCCUGAGUAGUUGGGAUUACAGGCGCCCACCACCACACCUGGUUAAUUUCUGUAUUUUAGUAGAGACAGGGUUUCAUCAUGUUGGUCAGGCUGGUCUUCAACUGCCAACCUCAGGUGAUCUACCUGCCUCGGCCUCCCAAAGUGCUGGGAUUACAGGCAUGAGCCACCGCACCUGGCUUGACCAUUAUUACUGUUACUGUUAUCGGCAUUGGGUGAGGCAGUGGGUGGUAGAAGAUGAGUAAGACAUUCAUCCUGUAGCAUAUCACAGUUCAGGCACAGAGACCUCUGGUUGGCAGAUAAGCUACGUUUGGUUUGACAUGUGCCAGCGUAGCGGUGGGAGCAAGGGAAAGGCACGUGCGCCUUCCCAGUCCACCCCUACCCCUGUUCCAGGACAGGCUGUUGCCUCUGCUGGACCUCCCUUUCCGCCUGGUGAAUUCCCAUUCAUUCUUAAAGAUCCAGCUUAAUACUCGCCUCUUCCAUAGAAUUCUUCUGUCUCUAUUCCUGUCUCUAGCAAGAAGUAAUUGGCUCCUUUUGCCAACAUCUGCCACUUGGAUCUCUAUGGCUUCCCACGGGCCUCUAUGUGAAGUUGUGCAGGUUGUGUCCUGCACAAGGCUGGCUGCAGAGGGGGCCAGUGGAGGUGAAACGCAUCCCCAGCUCUGCUCACUGAUCUGCGCAGCCUAGCUCGGGGUGUUCACCCCUGGAAGAAGAAGCUUGGCUCCAGUUCUCCCAAAAGGGACAGCUGGGCUGAGGGCAUCUCUGCUAGUCAGCCAUGUGGUUGUUGACUUUGCCAUGAGCUCUCUGAGAGUAGGGCUGUGACAGAUGUGUGCUUGGCAUACAGUAGGUCCUUAAGAAACCUGCACUCACCCUGAAUCCAGGCCAGCCAAGUCAGAGAUGAUUAAGGGUAAGUAUGGAGUGUUUGAGGGAGGACUACCCCCUCCCCCCACCCAAUUUCGGGAAUCUUUUUGGUGCGUUCUAAACUGGAAGGCUUCAGAAUCCCCAAAUUUGCUAAAAUGCAGCUUCCCCAGCUUAACCUAAUUCCCAGGCAGCCAGUCCUGGCUUGUGGGUUGCUCCCAACUCUGCAGGGAGGCAGUCCCCCAGCCUCCCACUGAGCUCCCCCAAGCGCAGGACACCUAAAGCCUCACACUCCAUUUGGGGUUUUCCAUUGUCAUUAACAGGUUCUUCCUUAGAGGAAACAAAAUGUUGCGUUCAUCCUCUUGGUUUCACAGGUGUGGAAACUGAGGCAGGCCGGGCUUGCUGUAGGAUACACUGAGAAUUCAUUGGCCGACUGGCUUGGACCCCCC